GACAGAGGGUGCAAACGUUGUUCGGAAUUACUGGGCGUAAAGCGCACGUAGGCGGAUUGUUAAGUCGGGGGUGAAAUCCUGGAGCUCAACUCCAGAACUGCCUUCGAUACUGGCGAUCUCGAGUUCGGGAGAGGUGAGUGGAACUGCGAGUGUAGAGGUGAAAUUCGUAGAUAUUCGCAAGAACACCAGUGGCGAAGGCGGCUCACUGGCCCGAUACUGACGCUGAGGUGCGAAAGCGUGGGGAGCAAACAGG
RNAcentral lists this ribosomal RNA (253 nucleotides) under uncultured bacterium. Its description in RNAcentral is "partial 16S ribosomal RNA". It matches the Rfam family "Bacterial small subunit ribosomal RNA", at positions 524 to 776 of the family's 1533-position model. The record is from RNAcentral.